RNAcentral lists this long non-coding RNA (303 nucleotides) under Polistes fuscatus (common paper wasp). Its description in RNAcentral is "uncharacterized LOC122517530". The record is from RNAcentral. Lineage: Eukaryota; Metazoa; Arthropoda; Insecta; Hymenoptera; Vespidae.
UUGUUUUUUUAUUUCAUUAAACUUUAGAAAUUAACGUUAAUAUAUAUAUAUUUAAAUUAAUUUCCAAAAUUUAUACGGAUAUUAAUUGACGAGGAUUUACGAAUGAAACUUUGAGAUCUAGUAUAGACAAUGCUCAUAAAAGUAUGUUCGAUCAUUGGUGAAAAGAAAAUUGUGCAUCAUCGAGGGUUUCUGUUUUAUACUCUUGCCGGAUUUCUUCUUUAGGAUUACAUCCUAACAUUUAACAUCGGACGCAUUAUUAUGCUACAGGAUUCAUCGUAACAUCGGACCCAUUAUUAUGCUACA